GUGAGUAGUUCAGAGUUUGAUCCUGGCUCAGGAUGAACGCUGGCGGCGUGCUUAACACAUGCAAGUCGAACGAAGCACUUAUGAUUGAGAUUUCGGUUGAUUGAUUAAGUGACUUAGUGGCGGACGGGUGAGUAACGCGUGGGUAACCUGCCUUGUACAGGGGGAUAACAGUUAGAAAUGACUGCUAAUACCGCAUAACCCGCUAAGGUCGCAUGACCUAGACGGAAAAGAUUUAUCGGUACAAGAUGGACCCGCGUCUGAUUAGCUAGUUGGUGAGGUAACGGCCCACCAAGGCGACGAUCAGUAGCCGGCCUGAGAGGGUGAACGGCCACAUUGGGACUGAGACACGGCCCAA
RNAcentral lists this ribosomal RNA (355 nucleotides) under uncultured bacterium. RNAcentral describes it as "bacterial SSU rRNA". It matches the Rfam family "Bacterial small subunit ribosomal RNA", at positions 1 to 334 of the family's 1533-position model. The record is from RNAcentral.